UCCGCUGUCGCCAUAUCUGUUUCCGGUUUACUUGCGCGUCGCCCAAAAUGUCUGUUUUUACUCGAUGUCUCCAGAAUCUUCCGAAAAUACGCGUCAGCGAUGUUCAUCGCAUUGUUGAUGCCUGGUCCCCUGCUCCGACAAGCAAGAGGGACAAGGGCUUUAAACUCUACAUAUCGAGUUAUCUGCACAACUACAAGGGAGCACACACUCUACAAAGGCCUGACUGGAGAUUUGCCUGAUCUAUCCGUCCUUCAGAUGACAGCGGCUCGCUUCAAGAGCAGGUGAAGCAAGUUGGGACAAUGUUGAAGACAUUUGCUCGCACUGGGCAAUCGGGUGCAGAUCAAACCCUAAUGCUGCGACGUCUUGGAGUUUGGCGAUGUUGUGCGUAGCAUGGACAACAAAAUGCUAUGCUGCAACAUUUCAGUGCCAAUGUGUCUGUUGGAGAGUUAUCCCUGCCAGGGGAUCUGUUACUCCCCCCUAGACACCCAGGAAGAUUUGGCGUUGCUUGACAACAGUUUGAGGCAGGAUAAAGAGCUCCAGCAACGAUUUCUUCGGUUUUUGGCAAUCAAAUGUGGGAGGGACCUAAAGACAACCGUGUGGC
Long non-coding RNA from Xyrauchen texanus (razorback sucker), 601 nucleotides. RefSeq lists it as uncharacterized. The record is from RefSeq and is a predicted model, not a curated record. Lineage: Eukaryota; Metazoa; Chordata; Actinopteri; Cypriniformes; Catostomidae. The transcript has 5 exons.